Molecule: non-coding RNA, 224 nt
Filed under: Gossypium arboreum
Lineage: Eukaryota; Viridiplantae; Streptophyta; Magnoliopsida; Malvales; Malvaceae
Description: Eukaryotic small subunit ribosomal RNA
Rfam family: Eukaryotic small subunit ribosomal RNA
Source: Rfam by way of RNAcentral
CUCAGCCUGCUAACUAGCUACACGGAGGUGAUCCUUCAUGGCUAGCUUCUUAGAGGGACUAUGGCCUUUUAGGCUACGGAAGUUUGAGGCAAUAACAGGUCUGUAAUGCCCUUAGAUGUUCCGGGCCGAACGCUCGCUACACUGAUGUAAUCAACGAGUCUAUAGCCUUGGCCAACAGGCCCGGGUAAUCUUUGAAAUUUCAUCGUGAUGGGGAUAGAUCAUUG